UGCCUCAAACAGACAAACAAACAAACAGAA
This 30-nucleotide non-coding RNA is filed under the name Rattus norvegicus (Norway rat). Lineage: Eukaryota; Metazoa; Chordata; Mammalia; Rodentia; Muridae. The record is from RNAcentral.